This 307-nucleotide ribosomal RNA is filed under the name uncultured eukaryote. RNAcentral describes it as "partial 18S ribosomal RNA". It matches the Rfam family "Eukaryotic small subunit ribosomal RNA", at positions 1470 to 1796 of the family's 1831-position model. The record is from RNAcentral.
CCCUUAGACGUUCUGGGCCGCACGCGCGCUGCACUGACGAAGGCAACGAGCUUUCCUUUACCGAAAGGUACGGGUAAUCUUUUGAAACUUCGUCGUGCUGGGGAUAGAUCCUUGCAAUUUUUGAUCUUAAACGAGGAAUGCCUAGUAAGCGCAAGUCAUCAACUUGCGUUGAUUACGUCCCUGCCCUUUGUACACACCGCCCGUCGCUACUACCGAUUGAAUGGUUUAGUGAGGCCUUCGGAUCCGCGACUCGUUUGUGGAGAAGUUGGACAAACUCAGUCAUUUAGAGGAAGUAAAAGUCGUAACA